This 766-nucleotide long non-coding RNA is filed under the name Rattus norvegicus (Norway rat). RNAcentral's name for it is "long non-coding RNA NONRATT002198". The record is from RNAcentral. Lineage: Eukaryota; Metazoa; Chordata; Mammalia; Rodentia; Muridae.
GUGUGUUCGCUGCUUUGAAGGGCAUCCAAACCGCUCUUACCCUUGUGGAGUUGCUUUUAGUCCUUGUGGAAAGCUCAUGGCUUGUGGUGCAGAGGACAGACAUGUGUUUGAACAGCUGGUCCUUAAUUGAUGGCACUGUUUGGGAAGGUUUAUGGGACCUCAGCAAAUGCGGCCUUGCCAGCAUGCAACUGGAGCAAGCUUGCAAAGCCUACAGCCUCAGCCCACCUCAGAGCCUCCCUCUAAUUCCUAUGUGUGGGCGAAAAUGUAACCAGCCAGUUCUUGUUUGUCACCUGCUACUGCGCCUUCCCUACCGUGUGGCCUGCUUACGUGUAUGAAAUGGGCUCGAGCAGCUUUUUGUACCGUCUUGCGGGACACACAGAUACAGUUACUGAAGUGGCCUUCAACCCGGCAGCUUCUCAGUUGUAUCUGAAGUGCAUAGUGCUGGUCCUGUGCUGUUCUGGUCCGUACUAGCUUCCCAUACAUUCACAGUCCAUGUACUCUUCACAGCUUAUCACAGCCACCUUAGAUGGGAAACUUCAGCUAUUUGUGGCUGAGUGACAGCUGACCUGCUGGUAAGAAUACAAGAAGAAAGGAGAGAAAGAAUCCAUGGCUUAGCUAUUUGAAGUGGACGGGCAGUUUCCAUAGGAGACCCUUGCUGGAUUCCUCUUCUGUAGGACUGACCCCCAUGUGAGAGUCCCUCCUCUUAAGAAAACCUUCAUGGGAAUCCUGGAAAUGAUGUUCUUCAAUAAAGAUGAGCCAGUGCCUC